CGUGAACGCUGGCGGUAGGCCUAACACAUGCAAGUCGAACGGCAGCACAGUAAGAGCUUGCUCUUACGGGUGGCGAGUGGCGGACGGGUGAGGAAUACAUCGGAAUCUACUUUUUCGUGGGGGAUAAAGUAGGGAAACUUACGCUAAUACCGCAUACGACCUACGGGUGAAAGCAGGGGAUCUUCGGACCUUGCGCGAUUGAGUGAGCCGAUGUCGGAUUAGCUAGUUGGCGGGGUAAAGGCCCACCAAGGCGACGAUCCGUAGCUGGUCUGAGAGGAUGAUCAGCCACACUGGAACUGAGACACGGUCCAGACUCCUACGGGAGGCAGCAGUGGGGAAUAUUGGACAAUGGGCGCAAGCCUGAUCCAGCCAUACCGCGUGGGUGAAGAAGGCCUUCGGGUUUUAAAGCCCUUUUGUUUGGAAAGAAAAGCAGCAGGUUAAUACCCCGCUGUUCUGACGGUACCCAAAGAAUAAGCACCGGCUAACUUCGUG
RNAcentral lists this ribosomal RNA (492 nucleotides) under uncultured bacterium. RNAcentral's name for it is "partial 16S ribosomal RNA". It matches the Rfam family "Bacterial small subunit ribosomal RNA", at positions 29 to 507 of the family's 1533-position model. The record is from RNAcentral.